GACUCGGAGGCUUACCUGCAAGUCGAGGGGUAACAGGAAUAGCUUGCUAUUUGCUGACGACCGGCGCAGGGGCGUAACGCGUAUGCAACCUACCUUUUACAGAGGGAUAGCCCGAAGAAAUUCGGAUUAAUACCUCAUAAUAUUGAUAUUUGGCAUCAAAUAUUAAUUAAAGUUUCGGCGGUAAAAGAUGGGCAUGCGUUUUAUUAGUUAGUUGGUAAGGUAACGGCUUACCAAGACUACGAUAAAUAGGGGUCCUGAGAGGGAGAUCCCCCACACUGGUACUGAGACACGGACCAGACUCCUACGGGAGGCAGCAGUGAGGAAUAUUGGACAAUGGGCGAGAGCCUGAUCCAGCCAUGCCGCGUGCAGGAAGACGGCCCUAUGGGUUGUAAACUGCUUUUAUACAGGAUGAAACCUUCUUACGUGUAGGGUGCUGACGGUACUGUAAGAAUAAGCACCGGCUAACUCCGUGCCAGCAGCCCCGGUAAUACGGAGGGUGCAAGCGUUAUCCGGAAUCAUUGGGUUUUAAAGGGUCCCGUAGGCCGGAUUUAUUUAAGUCAGAGGUGAAAUUCCCACAGCUUUAACUGGUGGGAAACUGCCCUUUUGAAUACUGGGUAAGUCUUGGAGUUAUUUGGGAAAGUAAAUAGAAAUGGUGUUAUUGGAAGCGGUGGAAAUGGCCUUAGAUUUUUCCCCAGAAUACCCGUUGGCAAAGGCCAGUCCUACUUCGUUUUUUUCCGGACCCUUAAGGGGACGAAAAACCUGGGGGGAGCCAAACGGGAUUUAAAAACCCCCGGGUAAUCCCCCCCCCCCCAAAACCAAGGGAACCCAAUUUUUUGGGGAUUUUAUCCCCAGGGGCCAACCCAAAAGUGUAAAAGGGGCCCCCCCCCCGGGGGAGAGACA
Molecule: ribosomal RNA, 900 nt
Filed under: CFB group bacterium epibiont of Rimicaris exoculata
Lineage: Bacteria; Pseudomonadati
Description: partial 16S ribosomal RNA
Rfam family: Bacterial small subunit ribosomal RNA
Source: RNAcentral